RNAcentral lists this ribosomal RNA (253 nucleotides) under uncultured bacterium. Its description in RNAcentral is "partial 16S ribosomal RNA". It matches the Rfam family "Bacterial small subunit ribosomal RNA", at positions 524 to 776 of the family's 1533-position model. The record is from RNAcentral.
UACGGGGGGAGCAAGCGUUGUUCGGAUUUACUGGGCGUAAAGGGCGCGUAGGCGGGCAAGCAAGUCCGGGGUGAAAGCCCCCAGCUCAACUGGGGAAGUGCCUUGGAAACUGCUUGUCUCGAGGGAGGUAGGGGCCUGUGGAACUUCGGGUGGAGCGGUGAAAUGCGUUGAUAUCCGAAGGAACGCCGGUGGCGAAAGCGACGGGCUGGACCUCUUCUGACGCUGAGGCGCGAAAGCUAGGGGAGCAAACGGG